CCUAGUAACGGCGAGUGAACCGGGAAGAGCUCAAAUUUGAAAUCUGGCGUCCUCAGGGCGUCCGAGUUGUAAUCUAUAGAGGCGUUUUCCGUGCCGGACCGUGUCCAAGUUCCUUGGAACAGGAUAUCAAAGAGGGUGACAAUCCCGUACUUGACACGACGACCGGUGCUCUGUGAUACGUCUUCUACGAGUCGAGUUGUUUGGGAAUGCAGCUCAAAAUGGGUGGUGAGUUCCAUCUAAAGCUAAAUAUUGGCGAGAGACCGAUAGCGAACAAGUACCGUGAGGGAAAGAUGAAAAGCACUUUGGAAAGAGAGUUAAACAGUACGUGAAAUUGUUGAAAGGGAAACGAUUGAAGUCAGUCGUGACCGAGAGGCUCAGCCGGCUCUGCCGGUGUAUUCCCCUCGGUCGGGUCAACAUCAGUUUUGUCCGGUGGAUAAGGGCGGUAGGAAGGUGGCACCCUCGGGUGUGUUAUAGCCUGCCGUCGCAUACAUCGGGUGAGACUGAGGAACGCAGCUCGCCUUUAUGGCCGGGGUUCGCCCACGUCCGAGCUUAGGAUGUUGACAUAAUGGCUUUAAACGACCCGUCUUGAAACACGGAC
Molecule: ribosomal RNA, 598 nt
Filed under: Papiliotrema laurentii
Lineage: Eukaryota; Fungi; Basidiomycota; Tremellomycetes; Tremellales; Rhynchogastremaceae
Description: partial large subunit ribosomal RNA
Rfam family: Eukaryotic large subunit ribosomal RNA
Source: RNAcentral